This is a non-coding RNA of Ornithodoros turicata, 73 nucleotides long. The record is from the annotation of a RefSeq genome assembly. NCBI's taxonomy places the organism in Eukaryota, Metazoa, Arthropoda, Arachnida, Ixodida, Argasidae.
GUUUCCGUGGUGUAGUGGCUAUCACGUGUAAUUCACACGCACAAGGUCCUCGGUUCGAUCCCGAGCGGAAACA